AUACGGAGGGUGCAAGCGUUACUCGGAAUCACUGGGCGUAAAGCGCGCGCAGGCGGCUAUUUAAGUUGGAUGUGAAAGCCUACGGCUCAACCGUAGAACUGCAUCCAAAACUAUUUAGCUAGAGUGUGGGAGAGGAAGAUGGAAUUAGUUGUGUAGGGGUAAAAUCCGUAGAGAUAACUAGGAAUACCAAAAGCGAAGGCAAUCUUCUGGAACACUACUGACGCUGAGGCGCGAAAGCGUGGGGAGCAAACGGGAUUAGAAACCCGAGUAGUCC
This 274-nucleotide ribosomal RNA is filed under the name uncultured bacterium. RNAcentral describes it as "partial 16S ribosomal RNA". It matches the Rfam family "Bacterial small subunit ribosomal RNA", at positions 523 to 796 of the family's 1533-position model. The record is from RNAcentral.